This 396-nucleotide ribosomal RNA is filed under the name uncultured bacterium. RNAcentral describes it as "partial 16S ribosomal RNA". It matches the Rfam family "Bacterial small subunit ribosomal RNA", at positions 523 to 918 of the family's 1533-position model. The record is from RNAcentral.
AUACGUAGGGAGCGAGCGUUGUCCGGAAUUACUGGGUGUAAAGGGAGCGUAGGCGGGAGUGCAAGUCAGAUGUGAAAUACAUGGGCUCAACCCAUGGGCUGCAUUUGAAACUGCAUUUCUUGAGUGAAGUAGAGGUAAGCGGAAUUCCUGGUGUAGCGGUGAAACGCGUAGAUAUCAGGAGGAACACCGGUGGCGAAAGCGGCUUACUGGGCUUUUACUGACGCUGAGGCUCGAAAGCGUGGGGAGCAAACAGGAUUAGAUACCCUGGUAGUCCACGCUGUAAACGAUGAUUACUAGGUGUGGGGGGACUGACCCCUUCCGUGCCGCAGUUAACACAAUAAGUAAUCCACCUGGGGAGUACGGCCGCAAGGUUGAAACUCAAAUGAAUUGACGGGG